CACAUCAUCCAGUGUGGUCGCGGCCUCCGGGUUCUUCCCGGGCGGUAGGAGGUAACACUCUUCACGCGCCACGCGUUUGAAUCCUUUUUUUACGAGCACCUUUCGUUCUCCUUCGGUGGGGCAACCUGCCGCUGGAAUCAUACAAAACCUUUUUUGCAUCUAGCAUUACCUGUUCCGAUAACAAACAAUCGUUA
Molecule: unclassified non-coding RNA, 194 nt
Filed under: uncultured fungus
Lineage: Eukaryota; Fungi
Description: sequence contains ITS1
Source: RNAcentral